Non-coding RNA from Pantherophis guttatus, 686 nucleotides. The record is from RefSeq and is a predicted model, not a curated record. NCBI's taxonomy places the organism in Eukaryota, Metazoa, Chordata, Lepidosauria, Squamata, Colubridae.
CCUGACACUGCUUUGAAUGUUCAGCUAGAGCCCUGAAAAAUCCAUGAGGAGCAUCUCUGGCUAUCUCUAUUCUCUCUCUCCCCCCACCCCAUCCCACAUACUUCUUUAGCAAUAAGCACAACAAAUACUCAUUACUCCUGUCCUCAAGGAAAGAGCCUGAAAUACUCUUUGCUGUGUCCUGCAGAAGGAGGAAGCAAGGAAACCCUGGGAAGUCCAGCACAAUGGGAUGAGUGUAGACUGGAUGAAAAUUGAAUGUGGUUAUAUGGCUAUCUCAUCUUUGUCUUCCCUCUGAUAAUUUUGAAGGGACUAUUCAAACUAAGAAUGAGCUCACAUCUUCUAUGGAAAUGAUGAGAGACUAAUGGAUUUGGCUUAAAAACAGAGGAUCUGUUACUCCUGGACAACAAAAAGAAAUGGAACAUGGCCUCUUGGAUUUUGUUUGCAUGUAAGGAUCAGAUUCAUUCAUGAAUUGACUGAUUACACUAUGGUCAUGGGAAAAAGAGAGGACAGUGGCUUGCAGAAUGCUACAAAUGCAGAACAUCUUCACAUUCUUCUUUAUCCGGAAAACAUGCAGUCAUCUCUGCCAGAAGACAUUUACCAAUAAACUGGAUGUUAAAGUAAAUGCAACGAAAUGUCAACAUUUUUUAUAAACGAAAUCUCUUCCCUUUCAAUAAAUUUGAGUAAAGAAG